AGGGACCAAGAUAACUAAACUCCC
This 24-nucleotide non-coding RNA is filed under the name Arabidopsis thaliana (thale cress). The record is from RNAcentral. Lineage: Eukaryota; Viridiplantae; Streptophyta; Magnoliopsida; Brassicales; Brassicaceae.